RNAcentral lists this ribosomal RNA (624 nucleotides) under Enterobacter sp. RNAcentral describes it as "bacterial SSU rRNA". It matches the Rfam family "Bacterial small subunit ribosomal RNA", at positions 791 to 1415 of the family's 1533-position model. Lineage: Bacteria; Pseudomonadati; Pseudomonadota; Gammaproteobacteria; Enterobacterales; Enterobacteriaceae. The record is from RNAcentral.
UAGUCCACGCCGUAAACGAUGUCGACUUGGAGGUUGUGCCCUUGAGGCGUGGCUUCCGGAGCUAACGCGUUAAGUCGACCGCCUGGGGAGUACGGCCGCAAGGUUAAAACUCAAAUGAAUUGACGGGGGCCCGCACAAGCGGUGGAGCAUGUGGUUUAAUUCGAUGCAACGCGAAGAACCUUACCUACUCUUGACAUCCAGAGAACUUAGCAGAGAUGCUUUGGUGCCUUCGGGAACUCUGAGACAGGUGCUGCAUGGCUGUCGUCAGCUCGUGUUGUGAAAUGUUGGGUUAAGUCCCGCAACGAGCGCAACCCUUAUCCUUUGUUGCCAGCGGUUAGGCCGGGAACUCAAAGGAGACUGCCAGUGAUAAACUGGAGGAAGGUGGGGAUGACGUCAAGUCAUCAUGGCCCUUACGAGUAGGGCUACACACGUGCUACAAUGGCGCAUACAAAGAGAAGCGACCUCGCGAGAGCAAGCGGACCUCAUAAAGUGCGUCGUAGUCCGGAUUGGAGUCUGCAACUCGACUCCAUGAAGUCGGAAUCGCUAGUAAUCGUAGAUCAGAAUGCUACGGUGAAUACGUUCCCGGGCCUUGUACACACCGCCCGUCACACCAUGGGAGUGGGU